UGUGUGUGUCGGUGUGUGUAGCCUAUGUUAGUGUGUGUUUGAGUCGGUGUGUAUGUGUGUGUGUUUGUGUGUGUGUAAAACAUGCAGUGUUGUGGAAUGACACCGCAUGGCAUCAUGAGUUGUUGGCCGGUUUGGUUCUCAACAGAGAUCAUCUGUGCGAACAGAAUACAUGGUUUUCAAAUUCCACGUUUCCUCGAUGUAGCCUAAUUUAAUUAUAUUUAUUUUAUUUUAUCCUCUUUUAUUUUUUUCAAAGAAUGAUAUUAAAACACAAGGUUUGAAUUACAAUUCAAGCAGAACGCCUUGAAAUAGUUUUACUCAGGCUUCAUCGAUGCCAUUUUAUUAGACUAUUAAAGACGUUUAUUUUAUUUUAUUCUACCUAAUAUGAUGUUUAAGAUUGUAGUCUCACUUUAUAUUGUGCUAUUUUCGCUUUAUGUUUUAAUCCAUUAUAUUCUAAUAUGUUGCUCGACAUCUUGUCAAAAUUACAACCUGAUAUACGUUCAUGCUGUAUGCUAUAAUCUGAUUUAUUUGAGUUAAUCAUCGCACUAAAUAACUAUUGCCCAAAUCUAUUUUUGAAAGAAUGACAGUUGUAACAUUAUAACAAACCAAUAACUGUGCGUCUGAUUAAAGACUCAUUUGUGUCUUAAACAAAUUAUGAUAAUUGUUUUUCCAUCUAUUUAAAAAAAAUACCGUUAUACAUGAUGUUUAAUAUAAUCUCCAUGUAAGACUUAUUCAUGUUUUCAUAAAGUAUUUUCUCGGCUGCGUCUCCAGCUGCUGGUACGGCCCCUAGUGGCAAGAGUUUAUUUUCAUUUGUACCUAUAUGUCUCCCUCAUUGCCAUGGGCUAUACAAUUACCAUAUGCUCUUUUCCCCUUUGCCAGAAUUAAUCAUUUCAUAGAUGUGUAUAUUUGCAUUUUAUUUGGAUGAAUUGACAUGUACCAAUAUCUCAGCGAUCAGCUCAGAAAUUGUAUUUAUGAUAACAUUACUUUUGUAAGAGUUCAAACCGCAGCAUCCUUCGUGCGCGGCGGCUGUUAGAAUAUUAUUUUUUUUCCAGUUAUAUUGUUGCCCUUUUUUUUCUCGCUUGUUUUUGCACUGAUCCUAUCACCUAAAUUUUUGCAACCACAAAACAGUAUUUUGAUAUCACAGCGUGCUGCUCGCUAUAUUUGCUGUAUCCGUCCCAACCUGGUGUAGCGGGGGGCUUACAAGUGGCCCAAGGGAGCCGCCCCGCUAGUUUCUCCUGUAUUUUGUCAAACAACGGCUUUAAUUCAGGAUGAUUGUGGAUGCAGGGCCAUUCCCGGGUGGAUGGAGGCCUGCUUUCAGGGAGCUGCGGGGCCCCGCUGUUCCUUUAUUAUCAUAAGCAGAUUAGAGGUAGCGGGGAACACACUCAGAUGCAGAUAGCAGCCGAGCGGCCCAUUUCAACCUUGCAUUAUAAUGGGCCGAGCUGCAUGUGUCGCCUCUCGUAGCCUAUUAAGCACAAGAUGAAUCUUAUGUAAGGUUGCCGGGGCCGGCAUAAUGAGAGCACGGGGGCUCCGCUCCUCCAUUUAUUAUCAAAUGACUAAAACAAAAUAAUAAGGCUUGAUCUAUUCACUUUCAAUUACGAUUUAAUCUAGAGACACGCAUUUCAAUUUAAUUAUUUCAGGUGUAUGUACUUGAUCUAUCUUUAAUUAUUGGGAUUGUCUGGCCUGCAGAGCCAGACAGGCUUUGUUGAGCUCGUCAGUUCUUUAUUUUAGGCCUGGUGUUGUUGGGUGAUGAAUGUAUUGUAAAUGCAUAUUUUUUUUAGCAUUUCAUAUAUCUUUAGCUGAACUUCUAAAAACAGUCAUCCUCCAUUCCCUCUCUCUACAUUGAGGAAAACCUGCCUGGGCUUUUUGGAGUUGUCCGUAGUUCCCCAUCUGUCCAGUAGGCGGCGCUGGUGUCACGCAGCCUACUGGACAGUCUUUAGAUGGAGAUUCAGGAAACGAGGCAAAGCAAGUGGCAACAACACUCCCAACCGCGCAAACAAACUUUGGUCGUUUUGGACAUUAAAACUAUACGAGUGAAUUAUUUCGACUUGACUACGAUGAUGCAGGUUUUUUUUCCUCUGAUAAUAUUCGCUGUCCGGUCAGUUUGAUCCAGAGGAGAGUGAGGCAGGUGGAGGCCGCUUUUCAUUCACACUAAUUGGCCGACACGCUUGUUCAGGCUUAUAUGAAUGAGCCGCGGCUUUUGUUCAAACACACUUUAUCUUUAAAUAUUCCUCACCUUUAAUUCUCCUCCCCUCGUGUCCCCGGUAGGCCGUAGGCCUACAGCCUAACCCCCCCCUGUAAAGCUCCAACAACAACAGCAGCACUGUGGCGGUGGAAGUGGAGUGGAGUUGGGUCUUUGUCCGGACAGAUGUAGCGACAACAUCCCAAACAAAAACCGCUUAUUUGUGCUGAGAUGAGCCCGUCUGCCUUCUGUGUGUUGGCAUUCAACUUCACUAAACAAAAGGACUGGGGGAAACAUCUUGGAUUACCUUUCCUCUUUUCAACGCUAAAAACCAGCCGUCCCCCCCAACACACACACACACACACACACACACACACACACACACACACACAUUCACACACCAGCAUCGCUAUUCAACGCUUUGAGUUAACCAACAAAGUUUAUUUAAGUGUUGUUAUGUUAUUUGGCCCGUAAGUGGGGGCAUUAGUGACUUUUUAAUUUUGAACAACAGCAGGGUCACGGCCGGGACUUAAUGUCAGGACAAUGCUGUUCAAGACAAGAUGACACUGACACCAUUCAUGUCAACAUGCGAUGAAUUUAUUUAACACCUUUUUUAUUUAUUUUAUUCUCAUCUCAUUUCAUGUCACCUGUUCGACUUCGGAUUUGUUGGUAGAAUCUAGGCUACACAUUUAAUUAGAAAACAAACCUUAUUUAUUAGAAAUUCUUAAGUCACCCUUAAGACAUAUCUUUUGUAUUUAUUAGGAACGUUUUUAGUCAUAAUAUACUUGUUUAUGUUUGCAAGACGACACUUUGUCAUUUCAAAACUGCCAGCAAACUUUUGAAAGUCCCUCUUCCUCUGUAUAAUAUAAGAUAUUGUUCAUAAAGUGCCACUGUAUAUAUACAUAUUCUCCUAGAAAUAUCUCCAUAAGCCUGCAGAUGGUAAAUAUGUACUUUAUAUUGGCUCAUAUGGGCAGCCCGAGAUCGCAUGUGUGCGUGUGUCUCGGGGCAGAGCAGACCCCACCCCUUUAUGCUAAUUAAUCUCCCCCAUUGGCGUGUCAGGGGAGCAGGCCGUCUCUGAUUGGCCAGGUCGAAGCCAUUUAUUCGCUGACAGCCCCGUCACAUGAAUGGUUGUCUAUUAACUUGUUCAAAAACUAUCUGGAGUUGUCAAGGCUCAGGCGGACGGAGGGCGAAAAGUACAGUUUGUUGAUGCUUUUUCGGAGAAGCGACUGGAGAAGUUUUGUGGACACAACAUAGCAAGGGACCUAUUGGGAGAAGGCUCUUUGUCACACAUACACACACGCGCGCACUCUGAAACACACUCACCGAGCGGGAGAGAGAGAGAGUGUGUAGAGACGCGGCUCGGGUGCUUGUUGUUUUUGUCCAGAGAAAAAGUUGCAGAGAAAAAAUCGACAGGUAACUUUUCAGCAGCAGCCCCUGCGCUCCUCACUGUCCUGCCUCUGGCUUGUGGAGUUUGUCUCUGUUUUUUUUUUUCUUCUUCUUCUUUUUUCUCCUCUGCUCGGGAGCCCCAACUGAAAGCUGUUCCUGAUGUAUAACAUGAUGGAGACUGAACUGAAGCCCCCGGCUCCCCAGACCAACACGGGGGGCUCGGGCAACACCAACACGUCCGGCUCCGGCCCCAAUCAGAAAAACAGCCCGGAGCGGGUCAAGAGACCCAUGAACGCGUUCAUGGUGUGGUCCCGGGGCCAGAGGCGGAAGAUGGCGCAAGAAAACCCCAAAAUGCACAACUCGGAGAUAAGCAAGAGGCUGGGCGCGGAGUGGAAACUUCUCUCGGAGAGCGAGAAGAGACCUUUCAUCGACGAAGCCAAGAGGCUGCGGGCCCUGCACAUGAAGGAGCAUCCGGAUUACAAAUACCGGCCCCGGCGGAAAACCAAGACCCUGAUGAAGAAGGACAAGUACACCUUGCCCGGCGGGCUGCUGUCCGCGGGAGGAAACGGGAUGGGAGGUGGUGUCGGCGUCGGGGUGGGGGGCGGCCUGGGCGGUGGGGUGAACCAGCGGAUGGACAGCUACGCGGCGCACAUGAACGGCUGGACCAACGGCGGCUACGGCAUGAUGCAGGACCAGCUGAGCUACCAGCACCCGGGGCUGAACGCGCACAACCCGAGCCAGAUGCAGUCCAUGCACCGCUACGACAUGAGCGCCCUGCAGUACAACACCAUGGCCAGCUCCCAGAGCUACAUGAACGGCUCCCCGACAUACUCCAUGUCCUACUCCCAGCAAGCCACACCGGGGAUGACCGCCCUGGGCUCCAUGGGGCCCUCCUCGGUGGUGAAGUCCGAGUCCAGCAGCUCCAGCCCGCCCGUCGUCACCUCGUCGUCCCAUCGGGCCGGCCCGGGCUGCCAAAGCGGAGAUCUGAGGGACAUGAUCAGCAUGUACCUGCCCGGGGCGGAGGUCAGCGAGCAGACCGCCCAGACCAGGCUACACAUGUCCGGCCACUACCAGAGCACCGUGCCCGGGACGACGAUCAACGGCACGCUGCCGUUAACACACAUUGCCUGCGGACGGCCCCAUCAAGCCAAAGUUUGUUGCCUGUUUCCUAAAAAGGGGGAAGAUUUUUCCACCACAUAAUGCCCAACAUCCCCAGAGGCCCGGGGAAGGUGGUCCCGUCCUUUCAUCCACCCGUCUAUCUACCCAUCCGUCCGUUCAUCCAUCCAUCCAUCUCCCCUUCUGUUGCUCGCGUGCAGAGUCUGGCUGUCGCAGCUCGAGGAUAUUUGGACUGCAACAGGUGUGGCUUCACAGGAAAGUGAAGACACAAACAAGAAUCCAGGACAAAGCAUGAACCGGAUGGCAAAUGAGAACUGAGGAGCAGCAGCUGCUGUAAUCUCCACUGUUCAAUUAGCUGCACUGACCGGGACGCCACCUACACUUCAUUAACAGGGAGGCGAAGGUGAAACAUCAAGCCAGUGGGAGUACAAGAGAUGGAGAGUAAAUGAGAGCUUGCUGUUAGUGGUGUGAGCCAUUUCCAGGUGAAGCAAACUGAAUUAAAUUGAAUCAAGCUGAACUGAUCUGAACUGGAACGACCUGAACUGAACUGGAACGAAAGCUUCAGCUGGACAGGACACCGACUGGCUGAGGUUUUGGGAAAAAAUAUUCAGGCAGAGAAACAACUUUGAAAUAAUACAGAUAAAAACCUUCCGUCAUUGAUGCCCGUUGUUUCUGGGAGUGCUUCCUUGCUCCAUUUCCUAUUUGUUCUUUCACGUUAUUACCUUUGUAUUAUGUUCUAUGACAUAAAUUAAACCCAAAUGAAUUUUGACACUGACACAAUGACAGCUUUCUCUUGUGUGCAUAUAUCUUUGUUUUCUACACAGCUCAUUACUUGCCAUUACGUGUGUGUGGUAUUGUUUUCGCCUUGUGAAGUCUGCGUGUGUGUCUUCAUGGUAAAAUGUCGUCCUGGAGACACCUGUAGCAGGAACUACCACAGAGGAGGUUUUGACAAACACGGGACUUUCGUCCAGGAGUCGGCUGUUUGUUUUUCCGUGCGAACGUAAAAGUAAAAGCUGACAUUUUGCCACGUCAGUCGUUAGCGUCGUUAGUCACGUGACGUCCGUGCGGUUGUCAGGUACGUACCAACGCUCUUUCCCUGAACCUUAAUUUGACGCUUUGGUUUGAGCGUGGUCGUACGCAUGGUUUUUUGAGCGUACACGAGGUUCACGGGGGCAUGCCCACCCUAAAAAUGUAUAAUUUUCCUGAUCUGAAUAUGAGCAUUUUUAAGGUGAUUGGAGAGCAAAACUUGGAUAACAGCAUUAAAACCAUUAGUACAAAUGAUAUGUCAAAAAGUAAUACAUGAGAAUCAUUGUAACACUUGAUUCUCAUGUAUUACUUUUUGACAGAUCAUUUGAAUGAUCCCAGUGCAAUCGAAAAAUGCUGAAACGGCUGAAAUGAUCACAAAACAUCUGUAAAUGUUGCUAAACAAUGUUGCCAAUGUUUAAAGUGUUAAAGUAAAAGUAACGCAACUGUUCUCUCUCACUCUCUGUAUUAAAUGCCUCUUUCUCUUUCUCUGUCACUCCUCACUUGUCUCUCUUGCCAAUGUGUAUAUAAAAAAUCCUUUCCUAAAAUUACAUACACCAUCUUUAUUUCGUCUUUGUGUUUGAGUUCACAUCAUUUAGGAUUUCAAUUAUAGAAACGUGUCUCAAGCACAUCAACAUAAGCAAAAUGUGUGUUUUCAUUAUAUCUAUACAAUAAUGGUAUGUUUUUACACUCUGUUGUGUUGUUAAAUUGAGCCUAUAGGUUCCACUAUAUAAACCAAAGAACAUAUACUGUAUUUCUGUGAUGAUAACAGUUUGAAUUGGAUCAAGUGAGUAUUUGUUUGUGUUAAACAGCUAAAUGCUAAUCAUACCCUGGUGGCAGUAGGCAGUACCUGCUCUUCCUCUCUCAUCUCCAUCACCUUCUCUCGUUCUUGGUCUCCGUCUCCUCAUCUUGUCCAGUAUCUCUUCCCUUCCCAAAGCUGAGAUCACCACCAUCUCAUAGGUCUUAAAAAGUUGGCAUUUUGUAGAUAUUUUUAUAUUAAUAUUUGAACAUACUUGGAGUAUAUACGUAUAUAUUAAAUGUUCAUAAGCAUUUAAACAGCAAAGCUGCUAUAAUCGAUAUGUUUUACAAUAAUGUAUAAAAGAUUCAAAUGUAAAAGGGGUCGCUUGUAGUGACCUACAGAGAGUUAUCACCUGAAUCUGUAGCUCUCCGUUCUAUAUUGAUUUCCAGCUCAUUGUUUACUGGCCCACAUUCACUCUCACCGCUCUCAUAGCGUCAUUUUCUGCAACCGCAGGCAGCUGUUUACAGCGAAGGAGCUCUAAAAACUCUCUGUGCACCACCUGCUCAGCAACAGUUAGGGAACAUAGUGGGGCAUUUAGCAGCUAAAGAGCCAGAUAUCCCCUCAGGAGCCAUUAGAGAUGAGCAAAAACAAAAAAACAGAGCUAAAAGAAAGUGAAUAUUGGAUAUUUCAUUCAUAAACACAAUCAUGACUAAAUGAAGCAUUAACUGCUGGAAGUGUAAAUCAGCAACUGUUUGCGAACAAGUUUCUCACGCACGUUUUCUCACGCACGUUUCUGAGAAGCUGAAGCAUGUUUCAGAGGCUUUCUGUCCACAUUUGGAGCUGAAUGUGUGUCUUCUUCUGUACUGGACAUUUAGAAUACAGCACCAUGUCAUUUCAUACAUUCAAUAAAGAUCAAAUGCCUAGUUAAAACCUUC
This is an RNA transcript of Anarrhichthys ocellatus (wolf-eel), 7375 nucleotides long. It is a transcript of the gene named SRY-box transcription factor 2, with no coding region annotated. Lineage: Eukaryota; Metazoa; Chordata; Actinopteri; Perciformes; Anarhichadidae. The transcript has 6 exons. The record is from RefSeq and is a predicted model, not a curated record.